GUAUUUUUGAAUUAUGUUAUUCAUGAUACUUGUUCAGACAAACUGGUUAAAGGUAGAUUAAUUAAGAGAUCUGCUUUCACAUCUUAAAAGACGCUCAACAGACCCCAACAUUGCACACAAGGUGGGUAUGGAUUUUUAAAGAGUGCCAUAAAACACUCAUUGUGAAUGAUCCUUCCGCAGGUUCACCUACGGAAA
Molecule: unclassified non-coding RNA, 195 nt
Filed under: uncultured fungus
Lineage: Eukaryota; Fungi
Description: sequence contains ITS1, 5.8S rRNA gene
Source: RNAcentral